RNAcentral lists this ribosomal RNA (519 nucleotides) under uncultured bacterium. RNAcentral's name for it is "partial 16S ribosomal RNA". It matches the Rfam family "Bacterial small subunit ribosomal RNA", at positions 28 to 523 of the family's 1533-position model. The record is from RNAcentral.
GACGAACGCUGGCGGCGUGCCUAAUACAUGCAAGUCGAGCGCAGGAAACUGACGGAACUCUUCGGAGGGAAGGCAGUGGAAUGAGCGGCGGACGGGUGAGUAACACGUAAGGAACCUGCCUCAAGGAUUGGGAUAACUCCGAGAAAUCGGAGCUAAUACCGGAUAGUUCAACGGACCGCAUGGUCCGCUGAUGAAAGGCGCUCCGGCGUCACCUUGAGAUGGCCUUGCGGUGCAUUAGCUAGUUGGUGGGGUAACGGCCCACCAAGGCGACGAUGCAUAGCCGACCUGAGAGGGUGAUCGGCCACACUGGGACUGAGACACGGCCCAGACUCCUACGGGAGGCAGCAGUAGGGAAUCUUCCACAAUGGACGAAAGUCUGACCCAGCCAUGCCGCGUGAAGGAUUAAGGUCCUCUGGAUUGUAAACUUCUUUUCUCUGGGGCGAAAACCAGCUAUUCUUAGCUAUUUGACAGUACCAGAGGAAUAAGCACCGGCUAACUCCGUGCCAGCCGCCGCUGUAA